RNAcentral lists this long non-coding RNA (433 nucleotides) under Eucalyptus grandis. RNAcentral describes it as "long non-coding RNA (EGRA_LNC000504)". Lineage: Eukaryota; Viridiplantae; Streptophyta; Magnoliopsida; Myrtales; Myrtaceae. The record is from RNAcentral.
AAUCUCCAUAAUUAGACUAAUAUUAACCCAUUCUAAUACUAAUCUAACUAUUAUAGACUAUCACUAAUCCAUAUUUAAGCUAACAUAAACCAUCCUUAAGUCUAAAUCAACCUCCUAAGCAAGUUUAGGCACUAAUCAAAGGAUUAGGAGCUAAACUCAUCCGACGGAAUGGUGGUUGGUUUGGGAUAGGACAGCAGCAGACGGUGCUGUUUUUGGGAGCAAAACAGAAAAGAAACUAAAGAGAAAAGGAGAAGAAGAAGAGGGACGUGGGAGUGGGGUUGUCGAGAGUAGGAAGGGGAGGAAAGUGGGAGUGAGAAGCAAUUAAAAAAGGGAGGGGAAGUUGCAGGGAAAUUGCGGCAGAAGAGUUGGCGUAGGUGAGGGGGUGGAAAAGUGGGAGAGAGAGGGAGAAAAAGAAGAAAGAGAGAAGAAAAGA